AGUUUGGUUGUUAGAUGGUGGCUACUGACUGUUACAUGUAAUAGGAACUUAAAAGUCGGCUUGAAUAGCAUUUAGUAGUCAUUUAUAAUGUAUGCCAAGUUCUCCACUGGAAUGAAUGAAAGGACAUAUAAAGAGCAGAGAUGAANUAAGGUGGACUACCUCUAUUUGCUCAAGAAUCAUGGUGCCUUAACAUUUGGCCUUUCACCAUUCUUUAAGGUGUGUGNCUUUGGAUCUCUAUUUGUAGCAUUUUGGUUUAUUGAUGACCUUUGAAAUUUUUGUCUAAUAGGGGAAAAAUAUAAAAAGUAGUUCAAAGAUGCAGCUGCCAUGGAACUUAAGGUCACUGAGUAGCCUACAAUAUUGGACAAGGUAAAAAACCUUUUUGUAUUCUCUUUUCAAUUUAUUCAAUUAACAAUUUUUUAUUGUCAGUGUCAAAGGAAGGGUAAGAAUUGAGAAACACUAUGAACAGAUUGAAUAAUCCUGCAGCUCUGCUAGCUUUAUGUUGGUAUUAGGCUAUAGACGACAUAAGAUCUAAGGUGGGA
RNAcentral lists this long non-coding RNA (539 nucleotides) under Vigna radiata. Its description in RNAcentral is "long non-coding RNA (VRAD_LNC014960)". Lineage: Eukaryota; Viridiplantae; Streptophyta; Magnoliopsida; Fabales; Fabaceae. The record is from RNAcentral.